GCUUCGACCAAGGUUCGACUCGAGCGAAGCGAGAGAACGUUGCCGCAGGCAAUGGCCCGAAGGCGAGGCGCUUUAGCGCCGAGUAAUCCUUACCCCACCA
This 100-nucleotide small RNA is filed under the name Klebsiella pneumoniae. Its description in RNAcentral is "RtT sRNA". It matches the Rfam family "RtT RNA", at positions 29 to 130 of the family's 130-position model. Rfam says of the family: This family represents a bacterial cis-regulatory element known as RtT RNA. The exact function of RtT is unknown although it is thought that it may be involved in changing the cellular response in relation to amino acid starvation. The record is from RNAcentral. Lineage: Bacteria; Pseudomonadati; Pseudomonadota; Gammaproteobacteria; Enterobacterales; Enterobacteriaceae.